This 1636-nucleotide long non-coding RNA is filed under the name Homo sapiens (human). RNAcentral describes it as "HSALNT0089734". The record is from RNAcentral. Lineage: Eukaryota; Metazoa; Chordata; Mammalia; Primates; Hominidae.
CAAAAAGGAGAGAAAGAAAGAGUCAUAGCUCUUAGAGAUACACAGUAAAGUAUCUACAGAUUAAAUAAUAUGAUGUCUGGGAGGUGCAUCGAGAUAAUCCUGUUAGGGAUGGGGAGAGAGGGGUGGAGAGUAAAUGAAGCGCUGUCUGCUCCUGUGAAUCACUGCUGAUGCUGGAGGAUGGGCAGAUGGGCAAGAGACUGAUCGGUCUUCUGGAAUUUUCCUCCCACCCUUCUGGCUUGUCCUUCUCCUGCAGAGCGGCGCAGGACAACCUCCUUCAGAGCUCCUGCUACUGCCACCGUCCCAGCAGACACCGCCUCUGUCUGACCAGGCACUCUCCUCACCCAAAUCAAGCAGGAGCACAAAGUAUUGGUGCCUUCUGUGUAACCAAAGCCCUCCUAAGUCCUGGAAGAAGGAAAGGAGGAGAGUGGGAGGGAGAAAUAGAGAGAGAAAGAGAUGAAAGGGGCAAGAAGAGGAAGAGCAGGAGGAGGGGAAGGAGGGAAGAAGAGAAGGAAGAGAAAAAGGAAGCAAAAAUGACUUCAUAAUAACCAUCUUCCUUGUCUGCAGGACAUGAGAUUACUUUUUUCCAGAAAAUAUCUUCCUCAGAUUGGCCAAUACAGAAACUACAAGAGAGAAAGAACUAAGCCUGAUUUUCAAGAUUUUUUUCUUCUUUUUCUCUUUUCAUCUUCAGUCACCUUGGGUUCAGAAGCUAUUUCUGUAAGCUGCAUCAGCUGGACUUGGACCAUAUGGCGGAGGCAGCAUCUACAUUUGAUGAUUCAAUUGACCCGGCGGAUGACUAGAUCGUUUUAAAAGCCCUUUGCGUUCUCGCAGGUCGUUUGUCUAUAUCAGAUGCAAAAGGAAGCGCUGUAGCCACCUCAAAUCGCCCUGGAAUGCUCUCUCAAAUGGGCUGGACUCCGUGAUUUGUCAAGGAAAAUUGGACAUUACCUGGUAAAGUUCUUCCUAAACCAUGGGCCCAGAUGUCUGCUUGACAAAUGUCCCUUAUGCUUGUUUCAAUUUAAAGAGUGUGGUUAAAAGACUUUGGCAUGAUUUAUUUUUUAGUUUGGCGUAUUGGUGGAGUGGAGGGAAGGGGGCAGAAAUUAUAUGGCAAUUUAAAACGUAACAGAUUUUGCUUGGCACUCUUUAGUGGGAAUGUGAAAUCAAAUACAGUAGCAAAGUCAUCUGUCAGGGGCAACUUGCUCUGAGGUCCAAGAGAAACUCCUUAAAAAUCUAUAAGUCAUUGAGGUAAGAAAUAAGUGACAUUUUCAUUCCUUCCAUUCCUCAUGUCUUAGGGAUAUAAGAUGCAAGGAAUGAGAUCUUGACUUGUAAAUCAUGGUGACCAGCUGUUAAAUCUAAGACAAGGCACUAGGUUAGCCUGUGUGUUCAGCUUGGUUCUAGUUUUCUCUCACCCCACUCUCUCUCACCUCCCAGACUUCUCAAGCCCUGUAGGCUUGUUAUACACCUUCAUUUAUCUUGGUAAGGAAGACAUAAUGGAAAAUUGUUAAGGCUUGAAGGAAUUACAAGAAAACGGUCAUCUGAAAGAUUAAACAUAGUCAUGCCUUCUUUUUUGAACUUGUGAUAAAACUUGUGACAAAUGAGGGUGGGGCGAGGGGGAAGGAAUUGAAUUAAACCAGAAAGUUUU